AGCGGCGGACGGGUGAGUAACGCGUGGGUAACCUGCCCUGUACACACGGAUAACAUACCGAAAGGUAUGCUAAUACGAGAUAAUAUACUUUUAUCGCAUGGUAGAAGUAUCAAAGCUUUUGCGGCACAGGAUGGACCCGCGUCUGAUUAGCUAGUUGGUAAGGUAACGGCUUACCAAGGCGACGAUCAGUAGCCGACCUGAGAGGGUGAUCGGCCACAUUGGAACUGAGACACGGUCCAAACUCCUACGGGAGGCAGCAGUGGGGAAUAUUGCACAAUGGGCGAAAGCCUGAUGCAGCAACGCCGCGUGAGCGAUGAAGGCCUUCGGGUCGUAAAGCUCUGUCCUCAAGGAAGAUAAUGACGGUACUUGAGGAGGAAGCCCCGGCUAACUACGUGCCAGCAGCCGCGGUAAUACGUAGGGGGCUAGCGUUAUCCGGAAUUACUGGGCGUAAAGGGUGCGUAGGUGGUUUCUUAAGUCAGAGGUGAAAGGCUACGGCUCAACCGUAGUAAGCCUUUGAAACUGGGAAACUUGAGUGCAGGAGAGGAGAGUGGAAUUCCUAGUGUAGCGGUGAAAUGCGUAGAUAUUAGGAGGAACACCAGUUGC
This 603-nucleotide ribosomal RNA is filed under the name uncultured Clostridium sp. RNAcentral describes it as "bacterial SSU rRNA". It matches the Rfam family "Bacterial small subunit ribosomal RNA", at positions 94 to 716 of the family's 1533-position model. The record is from RNAcentral. Lineage: Bacteria; Bacillati; Bacillota; Clostridia; Eubacteriales; Clostridiaceae.